GAUGGCGACCGGCGCACGGGUGAGUAUCGCGUUUGUAACCUACCCUUAACUGGAGGAUAGCCCAGAGAAAUUUGGAUUAAUACUCCAUGAUAUUUUAGCGCGGCAUCGUGCUUUCAUUAAAGCUCCGGCGGUUAAGGAUGGGCAUGCGUGACAUUAGUUUGUUGGUGAGGUAACGGCUCACCAAGACUACGAUGUCUAUGGGGUCUGAGAGGAUGAUCCCACACACUGGUACUGAGACACGGACCAGACUCCUACGGGAGGCAGCAGUGAGGAAUAUUGGUCAAUGGACGCAAGUCUGAACCAGCCAUGCCGCGUGCAGGAUGACGGCCCUAUGGGUUGUAAACUGCUUUUAUAUAGGAAGAAACCCUUCUACGUGUAGAGGGCUGACGGUACUAUAAGAAUAAGCAUCGGCUAACUCCGUGCCAGCAGCCGCGGUAAUACGGAGGAUGCAAGCGUUAUCCGGAUUCAUUGGGUUUAAAGGGUGCGUAGGCGGGGCAGUAAGUCAGUGGUGAAAUCCUGCGGCUUAACCGUAGAACUGCCAUUGAUACUGUUGUCCUUGAGUAUAGUUGAAGUGGGCGGAAUAUGUAAUGUAGCGGUGAAAUGCAUAGAUAUUACAUAGAACACCAAUUGCGAAGGCAGCUCACUAAGCUAUCACUGACGCUGAGGCACGAAAGCGUGGGGAGCGAACAGGAUUAGAUACCCUGGUAGUCCACGCUGUAAACGAUGAUCACUCGUUGUUGGCAAUACAUCGUCAGCGACUGAGCGAAAGCAUUAAGUGAUCCACCUGGGGAGUACGGUCGCAAGAUUGAAACUCAAAGGAAUUGACGGGGGCCCGCACAAGCGGAGGAACAUGUGGUUUAAUUCGAUGAUACGCGAGGAACCUUACCUGGGCUUAAAUGCAAAACGACGUACCGGGAAACUGGUACUCCCUUCGGGGCGGAUUGCAAGGUGCUGCAUGGCUGUCGUC
This 967-nucleotide ribosomal RNA is filed under the name uncultured bacterium. Its description in RNAcentral is "bacterial SSU rRNA". It matches the Rfam family "Bacterial small subunit ribosomal RNA", at positions 87 to 1056 of the family's 1533-position model. The record is from RNAcentral.